This 74-nucleotide transfer RNA is filed under the name Candidatus Karelsulcia muelleri. RNAcentral describes it as "tRNA-Ile". It matches the Rfam family "tRNA". Rfam says of the family: Transfer RNA (tRNA) molecules are approximately 80 nucleotides in length. Their secondary structure includes four short double-helical elements and three loops (D, anti-codon, and T loops). Further hydrogen bonds mediate the characteristic L-shaped molecular structure. tRNAs have two regions of fundamental functional importance: the anti-codon, which is responsible for specific mRNA codon recognition, and the 3' end, to which the tRNAs corresponding amino acid is attached (by aminoacyl-tRNA synthetases). tRNAs cope with the degeneracy of the genetic code in two manners: having more than one tRNA (with a specific anti-codon) for a particular amino acid; and 'wobble' base-pairing, i.e. permitting non-standard base-pairing at the 3rd anti-codon position. Lineage: Bacteria; Pseudomonadati; Bacteroidota; Flavobacteriia; Flavobacteriales. The record is from RNAcentral.
AGUCUUAUAGCUCAGAAGGUAAGAGCACUACACUGAUAAUGUAGAGGUCGCUGGUUCAAAUCCAGCUGAGACUA